Molecule: ribosomal RNA, 477 nt
Filed under: Pseudoalteromonas sp.
Lineage: Bacteria; Pseudomonadati; Pseudomonadota; Gammaproteobacteria; Alteromonadales; Pseudoalteromonadaceae
Description: bacterial SSU rRNA
Rfam family: Bacterial small subunit ribosomal RNA
Source: RNAcentral
GUUAGUAGUUAAUACCUGCUAGCUGUGACGUUACUGACAGAAGAAGCACCGGCUAACUCCGUGCCAGCAGCCGCGGUAAUACGGAGGGUGCGAGCGUUAAUCGGAAUUACUGGGCGUAAAGCGUACGCAGGCGGUUUGUUAAGCGAGAUGUGAAAGCCCCGGGCUCAACCUGGGAACUGCAUUUCGAACUGGCAAACUAGAGUGUGAUAGAGGGUGGUAGAAUUUCAGGUGUAGCGGUGAAAUGCGUAGAGAUCUGAAGGAAUACCGAUGGCGAAGGCAGCCACCUGGGUCAACACUGACGCUCAUGUACGAAAGCGUGGGGAGCAAACGGGAUUAGAUACCCCGGUAGUCCACGCCGUAAACGAUGUCUACUAGAAGCUCGGAGCCUCGGUUCUGUUUUUCAAAGCUAACGCAUUAAGUAGACCGCCUGGGGAGUACGGCCGCAAGGUUAAAACUCAAAUGAAUUGACGGGGGCCC